CUGUCAUCCCCUUCCCCUACCUCCAGCCACCCCAUCGCCAUGGACCGGCAACUGCCGCCAUUGCCACCCCACCCCGCCGCUAAAACCGCCGCCUCUCGCCUCCCGCGCGCACGUCCAACCGUGCGGACAUGGUCGCCACCCAUUCCUCCUCAUUUUCCUCCACUUUUCCCCAAAAAUCACGCCAGUUUGACCUCCCUCGAGCUCCACGUCGCCACCCCACGUCGCUGGCCGGUUGCCUCCUGAUUCCGCCCCUCUCGGCCACGAUUUCCCUCUCCUGAGCCUAUAUAAACACCCCAUGCGACCCUCGUCCAUUUCCCCAAUUUUUCCGUACUCCCCGCACUCUCCCCCGCUCUCCCCACGCAAAACCGAGCCGUCGCCACUCUCCGGCGAGCUCCGGCCUCCUCUAGCCGCCGCUCUCGCCAUCGCCGCACUGCGCCGUCACCACCAUCGGCAUCGCCGCCCCACGCUUCACCCCGGCAUCCAUUUCCCUUCCCUCUUCCACCCCCGAAACGCCGUCCCACCGCGAGGCCGAGCCACCGCCGCCUGUACCGCCUCCAGCCGCCGCCUCUCGCCGCUCUAGCCGUCACCGCGCCGCGUCGCCGCCACCGCUAGCUUCGCCGUCGCGCGGGCAAGCCCGGCCACCAUACCGCUCCUUCGAUCCACCGCCGAAUCAUCACCUCCACCGCAAGCCCGAGGCUGGCACCGCUUUUGCUGCCUCCGGCCGCGUCGCGCCACCUCUCCGGUCCACCCCAUGCUGCGCUGUUGUCCUCCCCGGCACCGCGGCCGUCGCCCGCAGCCCGGCCACCCCUCCGCCUCCAUCAAUCGUCGCUCGAACCCCAUCUUCCCCGCGCAAGGCUCUUCCGGUCGUCAUCCGCCACUCCUCGCUCGCGGACUGCCAUUGAACCGCCGUAGCCGUGCCUCCCCGAGGAAGCGUCGUCGCCUCUCCUCGUCGUCGGUCGCUCUCCCGCGCCGCCUCCGUGCCUUGUGCGCUCGCGUGUAGAAUCCGUCGUUUCGGAAGAUCGCGGUCACGAGGAAAAGAGUUCAGAAGAUCCAAG
Long non-coding RNA from Oryza sativa Japonica Group (Japanese rice), 1055 nucleotides. RefSeq lists it as uncharacterized. Lineage: Eukaryota; Viridiplantae; Streptophyta; Magnoliopsida; Poales; Poaceae. The record is from RefSeq and is a predicted model, not a curated record.